AUGUCUUCCUCCUCCUCCUCCUCCUCCGGUGCUUCCCAGACCAUCCUCAAUGGGCAGGUCACCGAGAAGCUAACACGCACGAACUACGUGCUCUGGCGCACGCAGGUCACUCCCCAUCUGCGUGGCGCCGGCGCCUUCGGCUAUGUCGACGACACCACACUGGAGCCGGACAGACUUCAUGCCACCAAGGACAAGGAUGGCAAAGAAAGCGCUGAGCCCAACCCUCUCCACCCAAUCUGGGUCCGGGAGGAUCAACAGGUGUUGGGCUACCUGCUCAACACCCUCUCCAAGGAGGUACUGACCGCGGUGACCACGGUCACCACAACGCACGCGCUCUGGACAGCGGUGGCAGGUAUGUUUUCCUCGUAGUCCAUGAGCCGUGUGAAUAACAUCAGGACGACGCUCAUUAACGCGCAGAAGGGCAACCAGACGGUUGCCGCCUACUUCGCCUCUCUUCGUGGCCUCGCCGACGAGCUUGCCGCUGCGGGGAAGGCCAUCCAAGACGACGAACUCAUCUCCUACAUCAUCCACGGCCUCGACGUUGACUACCAGCCCCUCGUCUCCGCCCUCGAUGCACGCGUCAUGCCGGUCUCCCUCGACGAGCUCUACGCCAUGCUCGGCAACUUCGAGUACCAGCCCCUCGUCUCCGCUCUCGAUGCACGCGUCAUGCCGGUCUCCCUCGACGAGCUCUACGCCAUGCUCGGCAACUUCGACCAGCGCAUGGCCCAGUUUAAUCACUUGGGCAGCGGCGGCUUUGUAAUGUCCUCGAUGCGGCUAUAUCUCCCACGUGUCGAAGCACGACUUAGAGGCAUAACCGCAUUGAAAGCAAUGUCGCAAGUGAGGCAAUCUUCACACAACCCAUGUAAUACAUAA
This 873-nucleotide ribosomal RNA is filed under the name Triticum aestivum (bread wheat). RNAcentral describes it as "partial small subunit ribosomal RNA". The record is from RNAcentral. Lineage: Eukaryota; Viridiplantae; Streptophyta; Magnoliopsida; Poales; Poaceae.